AUGGCGACCAGAGGGCAGGAAGCCUGACAGCCUUGUGUGACCAAUCCCAGACCUCCAGCGGCUGCAUCCUUUCCUUCCUCCAACCCACUUCAAGGCUCUUAGUGUGGAUUUUUCUUUUUGGUUUUGCUUUGCAUUUCAGUCAUUUGAGCUGGUGCCUGUCUCCCUGGCCCUCCCUCUCCUUGGGCUCAGGGGGUGUGUCUGGUUUAUCCUUGUCCAGCUGACAGCCUCCACACUGGCCCAUGCACACAGCAGGGAGGGACUCCUCAAAUCCUGUCAUUGAAGGGAGCUGGGGGAGUGAUAACAAGGGCUGAGGAGCAAGGGGGUCCGGUGACUCAGUGCUGAGGGUCUCCUGGACCCUUAUCUACAAAGCUGCUCCUUAGAAGGGUCCAGUGGCACAGCUUCGACCAACGCGGGAGGUGAGGCUUAAGAAGGCAAACACCUUUCAGCUGCUCAAGUUGUGAGCGCUGGCGGCUGAGGCUUCCCAUUUGCCAGCCAUGAGACCUUGGAUGGCUUCUCCCCUCUCUGUGUUUGCUAAGUGAGGAUCAGAGCAUCCUCCUCUUAGGAUUGUGAGGGUUGCCAUCUCCGACUUGAACAUCGGGGCUGAGACGUAAAGUGAGCCCAGUUUCCCUCUCACGCCUCCCGCGUCUGCACCUGCCAAUGCACUGCUUUCUGCAGUGGAGGGCUCUGCUUCUAUUUUAAGGGCCAGGGCUUCUAUGAUUCGGGCUGCCUGAAGGGCCUGGCUGUUCUCAGAACAAUCCAGGCCCCAUGAAAAGCUGUUCUGCGGACGUCACUGGGUGUGGCUCCACCUGCGUAGUUCCCGGAGGAGAGCCGCUUCCAGGAGGCAGUCUUGGCCUUGGCCUCUGUGACCUCACCUCAGGGCGCACGAAGAGACGAAUGCCUUCGGCCUCUGAGAUGCUGAAUGGACCUAACUGGUGGUUCGCUGGCUCCGUGAUCGCUCCCGCACUUGUAAGAGCCUGCGUCCCCGGGUUCCCCAUCUUUGCGGUUCCCCGCGCCGCGUAGCCGUCGGAGCUGGAGGACGCACCGGUUCAAGCGCCGGCAGCCCGCCCCGGGACCCCGUACCCUGCGCUCCGGGAGGCCCCCCUUCCCCAGCUGCUCCCCCUCCCUUGGUGCCCAGCUCUGGAGCGCAAGCUGAGGGAUUGGGAGGGGCGGGGCGGGGGCGGUGCCUGAGGGCGGGCCCGGGGCGUUGGCCGGAGGGGCGGGGAGGGGGCGGAGCCAGGGAGGGGCGCGAGCGCGCGAGGACUGGGAGAGGGAGCGGGAUUGGGCGAGGGCCGGGGCGUUGGCAGGGG
Molecule: long non-coding RNA, 1307 nt
Filed under: Capra hircus (goat)
Lineage: Eukaryota; Metazoa; Chordata; Mammalia; Artiodactyla; Bovidae
Description: lncRNA (ENSCHIG00010019057.1)
Source: RNAcentral